This 72-nucleotide transfer RNA is filed under the name Sandaracinus sp. RNAcentral's name for it is "tRNA-Thr". It matches the Rfam family "tRNA". Rfam says of the family: Transfer RNA (tRNA) molecules are approximately 80 nucleotides in length. Their secondary structure includes four short double-helical elements and three loops (D, anti-codon, and T loops). Further hydrogen bonds mediate the characteristic L-shaped molecular structure. tRNAs have two regions of fundamental functional importance: the anti-codon, which is responsible for specific mRNA codon recognition, and the 3' end, to which the tRNAs corresponding amino acid is attached (by aminoacyl-tRNA synthetases). tRNAs cope with the degeneracy of the genetic code in two manners: having more than one tRNA (with a specific anti-codon) for a particular amino acid; and 'wobble' base-pairing, i.e. permitting non-standard base-pairing at the 3rd anti-codon position. RNAcentral also lists the same sequence under 1 other name. The record is from RNAcentral. Lineage: Bacteria; Pseudomonadati; Myxococcota; Polyangiales; Sandaracinaceae.
GCUGGCGUAGCUCAACGGUAGAGCACCUGUCUUGUAAACAGGGGGUUGCGGGUUCGAAUCCCUUCGCCAGCU